RNAcentral lists this ribosomal RNA (315 nucleotides) under uncultured bacterium. RNAcentral's name for it is "bacterial SSU rRNA". It matches the Rfam family "Bacterial small subunit ribosomal RNA", at positions 28 to 334 of the family's 1533-position model. The record is from RNAcentral.
GAUGAACGCUAGCGGCAGGCUUAACACAUGCAAGUCGAGGGGCAGCGGGAGAGUGCUUGCACUUUCCGCCGGCGACCGGCGCACGGGUGAGUAACACGUAUGCAACCUGCCCCUGUCAGGGGGACAACCUUCCGAAAGGGAGGCUAAUCCCGCGUAUAUCCUUCUGGGGCAUCCCGGGAGGAGGAAAGGUUUCGGCCGGACAGGGAUGGGCAUGCGGCGCAUUAGGCAGACGGCGGUGUAACGGACCACCGUACCGACGAUGCGUAGGGGUUCUGAGAGGAAGGUCCCCCACACUGGUACUGAGACACGGACCAG